GAUGAACGCUAGCUACAGGCUUAACACAUGCAAGUCGAGGGGCAGCAGGACGAUAGCUUGCUAUUGUUGCUGGCGACCGGCGCACGGGUGAGUAACGCGUAUCCAACCUUCCCCUUAGUAGAGGAUAGCCCGGCGAAAGUCGGAUUAAUACUCUAUGUUGUGUUUUGAGGACAUCUGAUGAACACCAAAGGUUCACCGCUAAGGGAUGGGGAUGCGUCUGAUUAGCUUGUUGGCGGGGUAACGGCCCACCAAGUCAACGAUCAGUAGGGGUUCUGAGAGGAAGGUCCCCCACAUUGGAACUGAGACACGGUCCAAACUCC
This 320-nucleotide ribosomal RNA is filed under the name uncultured Prevotella sp. Its description in RNAcentral is "bacterial SSU rRNA". It matches the Rfam family "Bacterial small subunit ribosomal RNA", at positions 28 to 339 of the family's 1533-position model. Lineage: Bacteria; Pseudomonadati; Bacteroidota; Bacteroidia; Bacteroidales; Prevotellaceae. The record is from RNAcentral.